CUUUGCUAAGAUGCCUCCUCUUUGUCUUUAAUUCCCAAGUGUGUUUGAAACAUCUCUUUUAGAUACCCUUUAAAACAUAGGGAGGAGCAGUUCCCUUUGCACCUCUGUAGGCAAGCAUCAGUCUUCUAGCAGAUGCAAGCUAAAACCGGAAGCCAGUGGAAUGUGUGGAAGAGCAGCGUGACAUUGGAGAACUUGGAAACACCAAGCAGGCCGCAUGCCGGACGGUAUAAACAGGGAGGCCCCCUAUCAACAGUGAGUUACAGCUCUCCAGGUGGGAGAGAAUUUUCUGGACUAAUACCUGCACCGCUGUGUGAAUACCUGGGCGAGGGACACUGUGCAGUUGUUAACCGUGAUGGAGCAGUCUUGCAGCAGACCAGCCUUCCUCCAAAGGGAGAGUGUCUUUGCCUCGUUGGCCCAUAUCCAAGCAGAGAUGUCAGCCGGGGCGACAGAAAUGCAUGUUGUCACCCAGGUGGGUGUUGGAAGUCAUCCACACAGCAACGAUAACAGAGCCCAUGUAAGGAUAUGAUACAGCCAAGUGACUUGGUGUGUAAAGAGAAAAGGGCAUCAAACCAAUCCCCGGGGGACACCAGAUACUGAUCCUCUCCAUGUCACCUGGUAGAAGCUGCCUGCCAGGUAGAAUGCAAACCAAGUGUGUAGAGCCUGAGAGGUUGGAAAGGAGGGUCUGAUUGUGUUGUGUCAAAUGCAGUGAAUAGAUCUAAUAGGAUGAGAAGAGGACACAGAAUCAUCUUUGACAGUGCUAAGUGCCUCUGUGGCAGAGAGCAGUAUAGGUUCAGUGGCACUUCUUGAAUCCCGAGUGGUCAAAUUUGGUCAGAGACAGAAAGCGUAAGUAUUUUGGAAAAACUGUCAAAAAAAAUCUCCUAUCCCAUUUUCAUAUGCGAGAAUAGUACAUUCUACCAAUGGAUGGCACUGUUGGUAUUUGUUAACUGAUAUGCUCAAACGUAUUUGAUUUUGAAUCACAUUUUAAGGUCAAAUGUUUUACACUUCAUCG
Molecule: long non-coding RNA, 1009 nt
Organism: Esox lucius (northern pike)
Lineage: Eukaryota; Metazoa; Chordata; Actinopteri; Esociformes; Esocidae
Source: Ensembl